AGAUUGAACGCUGGCGGCAGGCCUAACACAUGCAAGUCGAGCGGUAGAGAGGUGCUUGCACCUCUUGAGAGCGGCGGACGGGUGAGUAAUGCCUAGGAAUCUGCCUAGUGGUGGGGGAUAACGUUCGGAAACGGACGCUAAUACCGCAUACGUCCUACGGGAGAAAGCGGGGGACCUUCGGGCCUCGCGCCAUUGGAUGAGCCUAGGUCGGAUUAGCUAGUUGGUGAGGUAAUGGCUCACCAAGGCGACGAUCCGUAACUGGUCUGAGAGGAUGAUCAGUCACACUGGAACUGAGACACGGUCCAGACUCCGUACGGGAGCAGCAGUGGGGAAUAGUUGGACAAUGGG
Molecule: ribosomal RNA, 348 nt
Filed under: uncultured soil bacterium
Lineage: Bacteria
Description: bacterial SSU rRNA
Rfam family: Bacterial small subunit ribosomal RNA
Source: RNAcentral